GGGGAUUUAGCUUAGUGGUAGAGCGCUUGCCUAGCAAGCACAAGGUCCUGGGUUCGGUCCCCAGCUCCG
RNAcentral lists this transfer RNA (69 nucleotides) under Rattus norvegicus (Norway rat). It matches the Rfam family "tRNA". From Rfam's summary of the family: Transfer RNA (tRNA) molecules are approximately 80 nucleotides in length. Their secondary structure includes four short double-helical elements and three loops (D, anti-codon, and T loops). The record is from Rfam by way of RNAcentral. Lineage: Eukaryota; Metazoa; Chordata; Mammalia; Rodentia; Muridae.